AUAUAUAUAUAUAUUUCCCCCUUUCCUUUUGUCACUAAGAAGCUCAGACCCAAUUGUGAAGUCCAAAUAUAACUACUAUGCAACACCGUAUUAAAGAGCCACUAGGUUCCCCUCACACUUCCCCAGUCCUCAUUUUUCAUUUGUGUUUUACUAUUUUAUUGAAUAAGUAUCUUUGAAUUGCUUCCAGAUAAAAUGAAGGAAACAUAAAAAAAUUUUCAAUUCCCUGCCUCCAGGCUGUCUUCAUGUUGUUACCCAACUUAAAAUGCCCAGUUCUCUUUCCCUUUGUCAGAGUUUUACCCCUCCUAAGAAAGCCAACUUAGGCUCCACUCCUGCUUUCUCUGCCUGCAACAUGGGGUCACUCAUUCUUUGGUUUCUCUUGCUUUUUAGUUAUGUGAGUUAGUCUCUCUAAAAAUAUCCAAAAACAGCAAAUUGGAUCCUCUUCCUCCUCUUUCCACAUACACCCUUGACAGCACCUAACAUGUGGCUGGACACCCUGGAGGAUUUCCAACAUCCAACCAAUAAAAAUAACUAAGGGAGAUUUCAUCCCCCAAAUAUUAGGCCCUGCAGUUGUGUGUGUCUCUUUUAAAUGAAUAUAAACUUCCUUCUAUCAGCUGAGAAUUUUUUGCACCCCUGCCCAAUGCCUAGCCCAAGAGGGGAGAAGACAGGGAGAGAGGAAUGUGGGGGCAGAGGUGUGAGAGGUUUCCAGAGAGCCUGCUGCAGAGAAAGGUCAGCAUCAAUGGUGUUGUGUUAAUGAGUUCAACUGGAACCAGGAGACAGAAUAAUUCAAAGUUUCUGACUGAUGGAGUUUGGAAAACAGCAUUUUCUCAAGAAACUUCACCAGAAGAGACCAUCACAAGGCAGGUGGGAAGGGGUCAGCUCCCUUGGCUUUCACAACUCUGUUCAUCUUCAAUUUGCACCUCUUUCUUUCCCAGCAUUCCCUAUUCUCUCCAGGAACCCAAAGGGGUGGUCAUUCUAUCAUCAGAGUCAACACUCAAGAAAUGGGCCUCCUGUUGACAACUUUCUCUACAUUACUCACACUGGAAAAGACUCUAGUUGGAGAAGGGGCUCAAGGGAGCAUCCUCGCACUGCAGCCUGGAGGUAAGAGAAUGGAAAUGUUCAGGAAGUAGGCAUAGAGCCAGUUCAAGUCUCGCUGCUGCCUCCUGUACACCAGCCAACGCUGGCAAUGCCAGGAAACAAAGAAGGAUCAAGGACCUACUUACAAAUCAAACUUCUGCCCAGCUCCCUGCAAUGUGCUGCCUCUGUAAAUGGAACAUCACUCCUGGACUCAUGUGGGAUUUAACCAAGUUACAACUUCUCUAAGCCUCCGUUCUCCCAAUUGUGAAAAAUGGGAAUGACAUAGCGCCUACCACUGUCAGUUAUUGUGAGAAGUACAUGAGGGUACAAAUGGGUAACACUGGGCACUGUGCUGAAGCAGUGAGUGUACAUGUGAAUUUCAGUAUUGCAGUUAUCAGAGAAACAACGGCUCCAGCCAGAGUCCCAGGGAAGUGAAAUAAGGGGUAUGUCAUUCAUCCAUUCAGUCAUAAA
Myotis brandtii (Brandt's bat) is the source of this 1545-nucleotide long non-coding RNA. RefSeq lists it as uncharacterized. The record is from RefSeq and is a predicted model, not a curated record. The transcript has 3 exons. Lineage: Eukaryota; Metazoa; Chordata; Mammalia; Chiroptera; Vespertilionidae.